CAGCCGCCGCGGUAAUACGUAGGGGGCGAGCGUUACCCGGAUUCACUGGGCGUAAAGGGGGUGUAGGCGGCUCGGUAAGUCGGGUGUGAAAUCCCACGGCUCAACCGUGGAAUUGCGCCCGAAACUGCCGAGCUUGGGGCCGGUAGAGGGAGACGGAACUGCCGGUGUAGGGGUGGAAUCCGUAGAUAUCGGCAGGAACGCCGGUGGGGAAGCCGGUCUCCUGGGCCGCGCCCGACGCUGAGGCCCGAAAGCUAGGGGAGCAAACCGGAUUAGAUACCCGGGUAGUCCUAGCCGUAAACGAUGCCCACUAGGUGUGGGGGAGUAUUUCCUCCGUGCUGUAGCUAACGCGUUAAGUGGGCCGCCUGGGGAGUACGCCCGCAAGGGUGAAACUUAAAGGAAUUGGCGGG
RNAcentral lists this ribosomal RNA (407 nucleotides) under uncultured microorganism. Its description in RNAcentral is "bacterial SSU rRNA". It matches the Rfam family "Bacterial small subunit ribosomal RNA", at positions 509 to 917 of the family's 1533-position model. The record is from RNAcentral.